CCUAAAAACUGAUAUCAAACUCAUAUCAGUUUACUGUAGCGGCCGUAACAGGUAUAAAACCUCAUAUUUCAGAAAUCCUACCCAUUUGCGCCUCUCAUUUCUCUCUCCUCUCGCAGCUCGGUUGAGGCAAUUCUUCCUUUAAUCAUUUUUCUCUGCAAAUCUUUCAAAAACCCUACCAUUUUCAUUUCGUAUUUGGUUUUUCUAUUGUUUCUCUCUAUUCUUUGCUUGUGUGAUAUGAAUCUGAAACCGUGGUUUUUCACUUGCGACCACGGAUCGAAGGUUUUUCUCUCCAAAACCAUUGGUUUUCCUCUCGUUUCUGUCUGUUCUCUACUUUUAUAACGCGAAUCUGAAACCCUGCAACCCAAGUUCUUUGCUCGCGACCACAAAUCGAAGGUAUUUCUCUGCAAAACCAUUGGUUUUGCUCUGUUCUCUGCUUCUGUGACGCGAAUCUGAAACCCUAGCUCGGUGGCGAGCACAUCGAAGGUAAGUUCAUACUUAGAACUUUGAUAGCACAACUGCAUUUUUCUCCCCUUUUCCUGAACUUAUUCAGAUGAAUUGUUAGACUAUGAUGGUUGCUUCAUUUCAACACUAAGAACAAAUUAAAUAUUUUUUCCCCUUUGCUAAGGAAGUUUGGAAGUGAUUCAUGUCUUGCUGCAAAUGGGAGGGUGUCCUUCAAUAUACUAAUCUGCAGGAGGUGGUCCAGUGGUUUGAAGCUCGAAGUUGCUAGAAAUCUGUUUGGUGCCAUGUUUUUUUGGCAAAUUUGGACAGAGAGGAACUCAAGACUUGGUGAAGACAAGAAGAGAGAUGUUGGUUUGCUUUGAUUGCAUUCAGUUCCUUGGGCUCAGUAUGGAAGAUUGAUUUUGUUAGUUUUUUUUGUUUGAUCUUUGGCUGGAGUACUUGCUUUGUACCUCCGGUGUGUAUUUUGUAUCAGCAAUAAAAUUGGAAUCUGUGUCCUGUCUGUUACUUGA
Molecule: long non-coding RNA, 968 nt
Organism: Cornus florida
Lineage: Eukaryota; Viridiplantae; Streptophyta; Magnoliopsida; Cornales; Cornaceae
Exons: 2
Source: RefSeq, a predicted model, not a curated record